Molecule: ribosomal RNA, 300 nt
Filed under: uncultured bacterium
Lineage: Bacteria
Description: bacterial SSU rRNA
Rfam family: Bacterial small subunit ribosomal RNA
Source: RNAcentral
GGUUAAGUCCCGCAACGAGCGCAACCCUUGUCCUUAGUUGCCAGCCUUAAUUGGGCACUCUAAGGAGACUGCCGGUGACAAACCGGAGGAAGUGGGGGAUGACGUCAAGCCUCAUGGCCCUUACAGGCUGGGCUACACACGUGCUACAAUGGCAUCUACAGUGAGCAGCGAUCCCGCGAGGGUUAGCUAAUCUCCAAAAGAUGUCUCAGUUCGGAUUGUUCUCUGCAACUCGAGAGCAUGAAGGCGGAAUCGCUAGUAAUCGCGGAUCAGCAUGCCGCGGUGAAUACGUUCCCAGGCCUU